RNAcentral lists this ribosomal RNA (235 nucleotides) under uncultured bacterium. RNAcentral's name for it is "partial 16S ribosomal RNA". It matches the Rfam family "Bacterial small subunit ribosomal RNA", at positions 135 to 353 of the family's 1533-position model. The record is from RNAcentral.
AGGGGGACGAACAGUUGGAAACGACUGCUAAUACCGCAUACGAUUCAACCUCGGCAUCGAGGAUGGAUGAAAGGUGGCCUCUAUUUAUAAGCUAUCACUGAAGGAGGGGAUUGCGUCUGAUUAGCUAGUUGGAGGGGUAACGGCCCACCAAGGCAAUGAUCAGUAGCCGGUCUGAGAGGAUGAACGGCCACAUUGGGACUGAGACACGGCCCAGACUCCUACGGGAGGCAGCAUG